RNAcentral lists this ribosomal RNA (778 nucleotides) under Pseudomonas fluorescens. Its description in RNAcentral is "bacterial SSU rRNA". It matches the Rfam family "Bacterial small subunit ribosomal RNA", at positions 51 to 824 of the family's 1533-position model. Lineage: Bacteria; Pseudomonadati; Pseudomonadota; Gammaproteobacteria; Pseudomonadales; Pseudomonadaceae. The record is from RNAcentral.
ACACAUGCAAGUCGAGCGGAUGAAGGGAGCUUGCUCCUGGAUUCAGCGGCGGACGGGUGAGUAAUGCCUAGGAAUCUGCCUGGUAGUGGGGGAUAACGUCCGGAAACGGGCGCUAAUACCGCAUACGUCCUGAGGGAGAAAGUGGGGGAUCUUCAGACCUCACGCUAUCAGAUGAGCCUAUGUCGGAUUAACUAGUUGGUGGGGUAAAGGCCUACCAAUGCGACGAUCCGUAACUGGUCUGAGAGGAUGAUCACUCACAGUGGAACUGAGACACGGUCCAGACUCCUACGGGAGGCAGCAGUGGGGAAUAUUGGACAAUGGGCGAAAGCCUGAUCCAGCCAUGCCGCGUGUGUGAAGUAGGUCUUCGUAUUGUAAAGCACUUUAAGUUGGGAGGAACGGCAGUACGUUAAUACCGUGCUGUUUUGACGUUACCAACAGAAUAAGCACCGGCUAACUUCGUGCCAGCAGCCGCGGUAAUACGAAGGGUGCAAGCGUUAAUCGGAAUUACUGGGCGUAACGCGCGCGUACGUGGUUCAGCAAGUUGGAUGUGAAAUCCCCGGGCUCAACCUGGGAACUGCAUCCAAAACUACUGAGCUAGAGUACGGUAGAGGGUGGUGGAAUUUCCUGUGUAGCGGUGAAAUGCGUAGAUAUAGGAAGGAACACCAGUGGCGAAGGCGAUGAGGUGGACUGAUACUGACACUGAGGUGCGAAAGCGUGGGGAGCAAACAGGAUUAGAUACCCUGGUAGUCCACGCCGUAAACGAUGUCGACUAGCCGUU